This 691-nucleotide ribosomal RNA is filed under the name uncultured Staphylococcus sp. RNAcentral's name for it is "bacterial SSU rRNA". It matches the Rfam family "Bacterial small subunit ribosomal RNA", at positions 65 to 738 of the family's 1533-position model. The record is from RNAcentral. Lineage: Bacteria; Bacillati; Bacillota; Bacilli; Caryophanales; Staphylococcaceae.
AGCGAACGGACGAGAAGCUUGCUUCUCUGAUGUUAGCGGCGGACGGGUGAGUAACACGUGGAUAACCUACCUAUAAGACUGGGAUAACUUCGGGAAACCGGAGCUAAUACCGGAUAAUAUUUUGAACCGCAUGGUUCACAAGUGAAAGACGGUCUUACUGUCACUUAUAGAUGGAUCCGCGCUGCAUUAGCUAGUUGGUAAGGUAACGGCUUACCAAGGCAACGAUGCAUAGCCGACCUGAGAGGGUGAUCGGCCACACUGGAACUGAGACACGGUCCAGACUCCUACGGGAGGCAGCAGUAGGGAAUCUUCCGCAAUGGGCGAAAGCCUGACGGAGCAACGCCGCGUGAGUGAUGAAGGUCUUCGGAUCGUAAAACUCUGUUAUUAGGGAAGAACAAAUGUGUAAGUAACUAUGCACGUCUUGACGGUACCUAAUCAGAAAGCCACGGCUAACUACGUGCCAGCAGCCGCGGUAAUACGUAGGUGGCAAGCGUUAUCCGGAAUUAUUGGGCGUAAAGCGCGCGUAGGCGGUUUUUUAAGUCUGAUGUGAAAGCCCACGGCUCAACCGUGGAGGGUCAUUGGAAACUGGAAAACUUGAGUGCAGAAGAGGAAAGUGGAAUUCCAUGUGUAGCGGUGAAAUGCGCAGAGAUAUGGAGGAACACCAGUGGCGAAGGCGACUUUCUGGUCUGUA